RNAcentral lists this small RNA (147 nucleotides) under Chelonoidis abingdonii (Abingdon island giant tortoise). Its description in RNAcentral is "TUC338 (ENSCABG00000006762.1)". Lineage: Eukaryota; Metazoa; Chordata; Testudines; Testudinidae. The record is from RNAcentral.
CUGACAGUCCUGAAGACUGAAGCCCUGUAAUUAUUCACAGGACAGGUACAGCAUGAAUAGCAGGAGCACAAUUCUGCUGCACCUCAUCUCUUUAUGUUUGAGAGAGAAGGUCAGUCAGUCUCCUUGCCCAUUCAGUCCUUGUCCUUG